Long non-coding RNA from Austrofundulus limnaeus, 755 nucleotides. RefSeq lists it as uncharacterized. The record is from RefSeq and is a predicted model, not a curated record. NCBI's taxonomy places the organism in Eukaryota, Metazoa, Chordata, Actinopteri, Cyprinodontiformes, Rivulidae. The transcript has 3 exons.
CCUCAGUAGAUCAUUGCUUUGUAUUUGUUCCAUCGCUGAUGUUUCUCAACUGUUCCUCUGUUCUUCUCCUGUCUUCAGGAGGCCUCAGGGAAGACCCAGGACUCCUCUCUGGUUGGGAAUGCUUCUGGGUCUCACAGGAUGAGCUGGAAAGUGUUGCAGCUGAUGAGACCUUUCUCUCCUGGACCUGUUGCCUCUGCGACCCAACUAUAAGCAGCUGGAGAUGGAGAUCUGAAAAGCCUGUUUUUCUGCUGCCAAUCUCACUAAUGUGUUUGUUACCCUGAAACCAAACUGAUUUAAACAGUCCUGAUGCUCCUCUGAACACGACUCUCAGAUGUUCCCGCAGCCUAAGGAUGGCCCGCUUCCCUUAAAUUCACAACUCCUUUGUGGUUCCACAGCAACAGAUUUGAAAUGCAAAUCCAACCCGAGGAAUCCUCUCAAGACCUUUUACUUGCUCGACUAAUGAAGAAAUAAUUGAAAGGAAAGGAGAUGGGUUUGAAUUCGAGCACCUGAAAAGAUGAUUCUGUGCAUUAAAAAGCAAACAUUUAGUAAUGAUUCUGGACACAGAUAUCCUCAAAUGAAAGAUAAACAUCUAAAUCUUUGCUGAUUUCUGAUACGUCUCAGCUACUGAUGAAAUGAUUCGACACAAAACUUCGUCCAGAUUGGAAAGAAACAGUCGUUUGCAUGCAUUAAGUUCCACACCCCGUGGUGUUUUUAUUAUUAAUGGGAUUUUCUGUAACGUAAUAAAAUAAAAUCUA